This 870-nucleotide long non-coding RNA is filed under the name Homo sapiens (human). RNAcentral's name for it is "HSALNT0393194". Lineage: Eukaryota; Metazoa; Chordata; Mammalia; Primates; Hominidae. The record is from RNAcentral.
CGUGUGUGGCUGCUUGCGCAGCUGCUCCGUGCCAGGCUUGGAGGACCAGGAGAAGGGGUAGUCACUUGCCACAGCUGGAGGCUGGAGCGUGUGGCACCACGGCUCGCCUCGCUGUGGUGGGUGCUGGCGACAGAGACGGCAGCUCGGCUGGACUGAUUUGCUGAGAUUUGUUUUGUGGCCUAACAUCUGAUCUACCCUGAAGACACUUCCAUGUGCUGAUGGGGAGAAUGCAUACUCUUCAACUGUUGAGUGGGAUGUUCUGUGAAUAUCUGGUAAAAAAACUGAGGCUUAGAAACAUUGAAAAAAACUUGCUCAACGUUGCAAAACAAGAAAUUUGUGACACUGGAAUUGACAUCUACAAGGGACUGAUGUAACUAAUUGCUGGAUACAUGUCCCUCAAAGACACAGAAACAGAUCUUGUAUUCUAGUGGAUCUCCGGCACCCAGUGAGGGCCUGAAACAGAGUACAUGUCCAACAAAUAAUUAUUGAAGUAAAGAUUGACAUUUCAGGAGCAGAGAUUAAUAUUCAAAAACAAAGAUGAGAAUUUUGGCAGAAAAGUCAAAAUGAGGUUCCAACGUGGCUCAACAUGGCAGUUGCUGAUCCUGACUUUGCUUAAAAUUUGUCCAGGAAAUGUAUUUGUGGGCCAUCCUACAGAAGUUAUAAUGAAUGGAAAAACGUGAAGAACCUUCUAUUCUCCCAAGGAUAUCGUGAGGGAAUCGUCACUGUAUCUGGAAGCCAGAUGCCAAAGAUGUUCAGUUAUUAUCAAUGUAUCUAUGCAUAAAGGAUUGAAAAUGAUUCUUCAUGCCAUAAUUUAUCUAAAUAUUCAUUCCUUUGGAACACUGUUUUCCACCAAUAGUAACAAGACUUGGA